UGAAUACGAGAUGCUACGGCGUCGAAGCAGUCUAUGUCAUACUUCCAAGAAAAGCUCGCACUGUCAUAAACAAAUAAUGCCUGUACCAUAACCGACACAGGUGGGUAGGUAGAGUAUACUAAGGGGCGCGAGAUAACUCUCUCUAAGGAACUCGGCAAAAUGACUCCGUAACUUCGGGAGAAGGAGUGCCUUAUUUAUAAGGUUGCAAUAACAAGAUCCAAGCAACUGUUUAUCAAAAACACAGGUCUCCGCUAAGUCGUAAGACGAUGUAUGGGGGCUGACGCCUGCCCAGUGCCAGAAGGUUAAAGAAGUUGGUUAGCAUUCGCGAAGCUGAUAACUGAAGCCCUGGUGAACGGCGGCCGUAACUAUAACGGUCCUAAGGUAGCGAAAUUCCUUGUCGGGUAAGUUCCGACCCGCACGAAAGGCGUAAUGAUUUGGAUACUGUCUCGGAGAGGGGCUCGGUGAAAUAGACUUGUCUGUGAAGAUGCGGACUACCUGCACCAGGACAGAAAGACCCUAUGAAGCUUUACUGUAACUUGAGAUUGAAAUUGGACUUUACUUGCGCAGUAUAGGUGGGAGGCGUUGAUAAUAUUCUUGCGGGAUAUUUGAGCCAUCAGUGAGAUACCACUCUUGUAAUGUUAGAUUUCUAACUUUGUAUCAUUAUCUGGUCAAAGGACAGUUUCAGGCGGGCAGUUUGACUGGGGCGGUCGCCUCCUAAACGGUAACGGAGGCGCACAAAGGUUUCCUCUGAACGGGUAGAAAUCGUAUCUAGAGUGUAAAGGCAUAAGGAAGCUUGACUGUGAGACCUACAAGUCGAGCAGGGACGAAAGUCGGUCUUAGUGAUCUGACGGUGCUGAGUGGAAAGGCCGUCACUCAACGGAUAAAAGUUACUCUAGGAUAACAGGCUGAUCUCCCCCAAGAGUUCACAUCGACGGGGAGGUUUGGCACCUCGAUGUCGGCUCAUCGCAUCCUGGGGCGGUAGUACGUCCCAAGGGUUGGGCUGUUCGCCCAUGAAAGCGGUACGCGAGCUGGGUUCAGAACGUCGUGAGACAGUUCGGUCCAUAUCCGGUGUAGGCGUUAGAAUAUUGAGAGGAGCCUUCUUUAGUACGAGAGGACCGAGAAGGACAUACCUCUGGUGUACCAGUUAUCGUGCCAACGGUAAACGCUGGGUAGCUAUGUAUGGAGUGGAUAACCGCUGAAAGCAUCUAAGUGGGAAGCCCACCUCAAGAUAGGUAUUCUCAUC
Molecule: ribosomal RNA, 1243 nt
Filed under: metagenome
Description: bacterial LSU rRNA
Rfam family: Bacterial large subunit ribosomal RNA
Source: RNAcentral